CACACACACACAUAUGUAUAUGUAUAUGUAUAUGUAUAUGUAUAUGUAUAUGUAUAUGUAUGUGUGUAUGUGUA
Molecule: non-coding RNA, 74 nt
Organism: Podarcis lilfordi (Lilford's wall lizard)
Lineage: Eukaryota; Metazoa; Chordata; Lepidosauria; Squamata; Lacertidae
Source: the annotation of a GenBank genome assembly